This 223-nucleotide unclassified non-coding RNA is filed under the name uncultured Micrococcaceae bacterium. RNAcentral's name for it is "contains 16S-23S intergenic spacer region". Lineage: Bacteria; Bacillati; Actinomycetota; Actinomycetes; Micrococcales; Micrococcaceae. The record is from RNAcentral.
UCCGAGUUGACCCCGGCAGUCUCCUAUGAGUCCCCGCCAUAACGCGCUGGCAACAUAGAACGAGGGUUGCGCUCGUUGCGGGACUUAACCCAACAUCUCACGACACGAGCUGACGACAACCAUGCACCACCUGUGAACCGGCCCCAAAGGGGAAACCACAUUUCUGCGGCGGUCCGGCCCAUGUCAAGCCUUGGUAAGGUGGGGAUGACGUGGGAGGAAUUCC